Long non-coding RNA from Gavialis gangeticus (Gharial), 802 nucleotides. RefSeq lists it as uncharacterized. The record is from RefSeq and is a predicted model, not a curated record. The transcript is spliced from 2 exons. NCBI's taxonomy places the organism in Eukaryota, Metazoa, Chordata, Crocodylia, Gavialidae.
GGGUUGUGAUGCAUUCAAGUCCAAGGCAAGGGAAGCACGAGGCAUCAGCCCAGAAGGGCAUGCGAUGCAUCAGGUACUCGAGUUUGUACCCACUCGGUUUCUCCAGCAGCCAAGACACCGGACUGGGACUUGGGAGGCGCAAGCUCCGAUUGCAGCUCUGCCAACAACACGCUGGCUGACUUGGUGCACAUCAUCUCUCUUCCAGUGCCUCAGUUUCCCCACCUACAAGCCACAGCCCCUCCGCUAUGGGCUUGUGAUGUGAUAGACAACAUAAAGCAUCCCACCAAACAGCAUCAAUAGCAGUUACAUUACAGCUGAAGCAGGUUGCAGGCAUGAUGCCUUGCCGAAAUCCUGCUGGAUCCCAGGACGCCUAGCGAGAUCUGGGAUCCUCCCCUGCGGGCGAAGAGCUGGCAGGGCAAGGGUUGUGUUUCACAAUCUUGGAGACUCACAAGAUGUGGUGACCUCAGAACCGUGCCUAUCUGUAAAGAGCACCGAGGCUUGGCGCCCGUCCAGGCACUAAAGGGCAAGUCCCAGACAGCUCUGUGCAAAUCAUGGCAGGCGGGCCAGAUCCCCUUACAGGCUGUGCAGCUAGUUCAGCGUGGCAUUCAACUAGCAGCACAGGCCGGGGUACAACUGCUGGCAGGUUCCUCGGAGCAAGCCCAUUCAGGCUCCCUUCACUGCCUCCCCGGUUAUUACCGAUAUCCUUUGGAAGCAGAGACAAAGUUAAAGCACGUGCAUUGAAGUUGCUGCUCUGAAGCUCGUAUCCAGCAAUGCAAUAAGCAGCCCAACCCUCUCCAGCCAC